Long non-coding RNA from Ictalurus punctatus (channel catfish), 1264 nucleotides. The record is from Ensembl. Lineage: Eukaryota; Metazoa; Chordata; Actinopteri; Siluriformes; Ictaluridae.
ACUAAACAAUCUGAGGAAGAGAACAGGUCUGUAUUCUGGAUUUCAUUUUUUUCAGUAGUGAUUUUCUAUAAGGAGUGUGAAGCUGAGUACUGACACAUGCUGACAUGUGAUUGGCUACAACGUGGCUCAGAUGUGAUUGGCUACAGUUCUGUGAAUGAACACAGUGGUCAGGAGAUGGAGAGAGUGGUCAGGAGAUGGAGAGAGUGGUGAGGAGAUGGAGAGAGUGGUGAGGAGAUGGAGAGAGUGGUCAGGUGAUGGAGAGAGUGGUCAGGAGAUGGAGAGAGUGGUCAGGAGAUGGAGAGAGUGGUGAGGAGAUGGAGAGAGUGGUCAGGAGAUGUAUGUUGUAUUGUGUCAGACAGAACCAGAGCCCCUGAUAUCAGCAGAGAAACAAGGAGAGAACAAUAAACAGUGCACAAACACCGUUAAUCAACUUUCCUCUUCCUCCGGCGUCACUGAAUGAGUUCUUCAUUUAAGAGAAAACACCAUCUCAGCUCCAAAUCUCUCUCUUAUUCACGCUUUCGCCUCAUUUAUGAGUACAAUUGUGGACGGACUGUUACUAAAACGCUGUUGCACAAAGCCCAAACGAUUCUUUUGUUCAGCUGUGGUGAGAUUCUGUAAAAGUCUUUAUGAGCUGCUAGAACAUUUCCACAAUUUGGACCGGUUCUCUAAAGUGAGUAAAGCGUGCAGUGCUCUCAUCUUCAUCCUGUGGUGUGAAGUGAUUUCCCAGGGAAAGUGGUUCAAUAAAGUUCUAACCUUUCAUUUUUAAAGCCCAGUUAAACUCUGAAUCAUCGAGUCAAAAGCAAAGGUCAGAACAUAAAACAGAACCCAGACAUAUCAUUUUGCUCUUUGGGUACUGAAAUGUGUAUGGAAGGAUUUCAGAAAAAAGUAGCCUUGGGGCGGUGAAAAUAAAACGCCUCACGAUCUAAAUAAACGAAUGAACUAAAUAAAUAAAGUAACGAUCUUCGGUUCUAAAUCUCACUGUAAAAAACGCUUCAAAAGAGGUUCUACAUGGAAAGAAACGAAGAUCCUGUCUGGGUUCCCAAGAGAACCAAACCGAUGAACUGUUUAGGAUGCUAACGUAAACUCAUAAGAAUAAAACGGUGAUUUUUAAAUGGUUCUUCAAUGAGUUUCUCUGGAGUUCUUAAAUUAGAACCCUCUCAAAUAAGAGGUGGUUGUAGGGUGAAUCCUUUUUGGGUCUCUGGAGGGAAAUAUAUAUAACUAUAUCUCUUUUUUUUCUUAAAGUCUAUCUUUCAAACAAGAGAAA